RNAcentral lists this ribosomal RNA (301 nucleotides) under uncultured bacterium. RNAcentral's name for it is "partial 16S ribosomal RNA". It matches the Rfam family "Bacterial small subunit ribosomal RNA", at positions 509 to 807 of the family's 1533-position model. The record is from RNAcentral.
CAGCCGCCGCGGUAAAACGGAGGGGGCUAGCGUUGUUCGGAAUUACUGGGCGUAAAGCGUACGUAGGCGGCUUUGUAAGUUAGAGGUGAAAGCCCGGAGCUCAACUCCGGAAUUGCCUUUAAGACUGCAUCGCUUGAAUCGUGGAGAGGUGAGUGGAAUUCCGAGUGUAGAGGUGAAAUUCGUAGAUGUUCGGAAGAACACCAGUGGCGAAGGCGGCUCACUGGACACGUAUUGACGCUGAGGUACGAAAGCGUGGGGAGCAAACAGGAUUAGAUACCCCAGUAGUCCCUGUCUCUUAUAC